AGAAAACAAAAGAGGAGCAAUCUAAGGAGAUCCAAAUUUUGUUUUGGAGACAAGAAGGAAAGGAAGAAGCAGAUAAGCAAUAAAUAAGAAGAUGAAGAGGUAAUAUACAAUAUACUUUGGUUUGUUUUCGAAAGAUUUCACGGGAUGUGUCAAUGACACUAUCUGGAAGAUUCUCAUAUGCUCCUUUUGUUUUUAAUCCAAAACUGGUAAUCCUUAAUGACUUUGUGGAGUGAUUAAGUACAUAUCAGCAGCGUGUUAAGCAAAAGUUAUGAGUUGAUUUUUUUGUUUGUUAUAAUCAUUCUACUGCUAUUUAACCAAAUCCUAUUAGCCAUAUAAUUUUAAUGAUUUUUGUACAAUGAAGUAUAGAAAGACAUACAAUUGUGCCAAUAAAAACAAAUCAGGCUGCAUUCAAUUCCUGGUGUCAAUGAAUUACUAGAACCUUGUUUAUCUUUUUGUUUUUAUG
RNAcentral lists this long non-coding RNA (463 nucleotides) under Cicer arietinum (chickpea). RNAcentral describes it as "long non-coding RNA (CARI_LNC003438)". Lineage: Eukaryota; Viridiplantae; Streptophyta; Magnoliopsida; Fabales; Fabaceae. The record is from RNAcentral.